This is a small nucleolar RNA of Corylus avellana, 83 nucleotides long. RefSeq annotates it as small nucleolar RNA Z122. NCBI's taxonomy places the organism in Eukaryota, Viridiplantae, Streptophyta, Magnoliopsida, Fagales, Betulaceae. The record is from RefSeq and is a predicted model, not a curated record.
UUUGGGAAAUGAUGAUAAAAACAGAUUGGCAAAGGCACCAGCGAUGCUGAGAUUAUCCAUUUGCACGUCAGUCUGAUCCCUAG